CUAUGGUUUAUUGGAUCUUGCCCGUUAGAUGGAUAACUGUAAUAACUCUAGAGCUAAUACAUGCCUCGAUGCCCUGACCCUGCUCGUGUUUGCCUUGCUUGCUUGCAUGUGGUGGGGGAUGGGUGCACUUAUUGGAUCAGAAGCCAACCAACUGUGCGUGUGCGGCCCACCGCGAGGUGGACGUCGCGUACGUUGAGACACUCACUUCUGGUGACUCUGGAUAAGCGUUACAGAUCGCAGUCGGCGUUGAGCCGGCGACGGGUCCUUCAAAUGUCUGCCCUAUCAACUUUCGAUGGUAGGUGACCUGCCUACCAUGGUGGUAACGGGUAACGGGGAAUCAGGGUUCGAUUCCGGAGAGGGAGCCUGAGAAACGGCUACCACUUCCAAGGGAGGCAGCAGGCGCGCAAAUUACCCACUCCCAGCACGGGGAGGUGGUGACGAAAAAUACCGAUGCGGCGGGACUCCUUCAAGAGGCUCCGUAAUCGGAAUGAGUGGACUCUAAACCCCUUCACGAGGAUCAAUUGGAGGGCAAGUCUGGUGCCAGCAGCCGCGGUAACUCCAGCUCCAAUAGCGUAUAUUAAAGUUGCUGCAGUUAAAAAGCUCGUAGUUGGAUCUCGGUAGCAUUGUUGCCUGUUGGUGAUUGAGCGGCCGGUGUGUGGUUAUCGGUGCGCGGUUGCCUCGGCGCCUGCAUGUUGGUGGGCCGGUCAGUAGUUGGGCUGGUGGGUUGGCGUUUGUUGCGUUAGGGUGGUUGGUUGGUUAGUUGACCAGCUGAUCUGCUCUUUGCUCGCUCGCUCGCUCGCUUGCUGGCCGAUUGGUGAGCUGGCUCGCUUGUUCGCCUGCGGCGUUGGGGGGACUGUGCAGUCGUGGCCAUGAGCAAGCACUGUCGUGUCAAGCCAACAAGGUGGUGGUGUCGCCUUUAAGCCAUGUCUGUGGUGUAGUCGUCGCAGGUGUGGGCGGGUGUUGGGCAGUGCUCUGCACACGCUGUGGGGCCUGCCGGCUCGUCCACAUGCCUUUGGAUGCCCUUGAUUGGGUGUCUGCGGGCGGAUGGCACGUUUACUUUGAACAAAUUUGAGUGCUCAAGUCAGGCCGAUGUUGCCUGUAAAGUUUUGCAUGGAAUAAUGGAAGAGGACUUCGGUUCUAUUUCGUUGGUUUUCGGGUCCGAAGUAAUGAUCAAAAGAGACAGGCGGGGGCGUUUGUAUGGCUGCGCUAGAGGUGAAAUUCAUGGACCGUAGCCAGACAAACUAAAGCGAAGGCAUUCGUCAAGCAUGUUUUCAUUGGCCAUGAGCGAAAGUCAGAGGCUCGAAGACGAUCAGAUACCGUCCUAGUUCUGACCAUAAACGAUGCCAACUGACGAUCCGUGGUGGUAGUGAUGUUGCCUUCCCCACGGGCAGUCGCCGGGAAACCGUUAAGUGUUUGGGUUCCGGGGGAAGUAUGGUUGCAAAGCUGAAACUUAAAGGAAUUGACGGAAGGGCACCACCAGGAGUGGAGCCUGCGGCUUAAUUUGACUCAACACGCGAAAACUCACCCGGGCCGGACACUGUGAGGAUUGACAGAUUGAGAGCUCUUUCUUGAUUUGGUGGUUGGUGGUGCAUGGCCGUUCUUAGUUGGUGGAGCGAUUUGUCUGGUUAAUUCCGAUAACGAGCGAGACUCCAGCCUGCUAAUUAGUGCGUUCGUCCACUGCGCCCGCGUGGGUGACGUUGGACGAUACCGUCUGCUGCGGGUGCGCAGUUUGCGCUCUUCCCCUCUCUCCUCUCCUCCCCUCUUGCACUUCUUCGUGAGAGUGGGUGGGGUGGGGUGGGGUGAGAGUGCAGGUUGACGCUCGUGGUUGGUUAGUCUGGCGUUGGCCUGCGGGUGCGGCGCGAAUGCUUACUUCUUAGAGGGACAAGCGGGAGAAGCCGCACGAGAUAGAGCAAUAACAGGUCUGUGAUGCCCUUAGAUGUCCGGGGCCGCACGCGCGCUACAAUGACGGUGUCAACGAGUGAGACCUUCUGGCCCGAGAGGGUUGGGCAAACUGGUCAAUCACCGUCGUGACAGGGAUCGGGGCUUGGAAUUGUUCCCCGUGAACGAGGAAUUCCUAGUAGGUGCAAGUCAUAAGCUUGCGCUGAUUACGUCCCUGCCCUUUGUACACACCGCCCGUCGCUACUACCGAUUGAAUGGUUUGGUAAGAUCCUUGGAUCGGCGUCGUUGUGGCAGUUGCCGGAAGGUCAUUGUCCUGCAGACGCUGAGAAGACGACCAAACUUGAUCAUUUAGA
Molecule: ribosomal RNA, 2252 nt
Filed under: Echinococcus ortleppi
Lineage: Eukaryota; Metazoa; Platyhelminthes; Cestoda; Cyclophyllidea; Taeniidae
Description: SSU rRNA
Rfam family: Eukaryotic small subunit ribosomal RNA
Source: RNAcentral